CUUAGAGUUUGAUCCUGGCUCAGGAUGAACGCUAGCUACAGGCUUAACACAUGCAAGUCGAGGGGCAGCGGGAUUGAAGCUUGCUUCAAUUGCCGGCGACCGGCGCACGGGUGAGUAACGCGUAUCCAACCUUCCGUACACUCAGGGAUAGCCUUUCGAAAGAAAGAUUAAUACCUGAUGGUAUGAUGAGAUUGCAUGAUAGCAUCAUUAAAGAUUUAUCGGUGUACGAUGGGGAUGCGUUCCAUUAGGUAGUAGGCGGGGUAACGGCCCACCUAGCCAACGAUGGAUAGGGGUUCUGAGAGGAAGGUCCCCCACAUUGGAACUGAGACACGGUCCAAACUCCUACGGGAGGCAGCAGUGAGGAAUAUUGGUCAAUGGACGAGAGUCUGAACCAGCCAAGUAGCGUGAAGGAUGAAGGUCCUACGGAUUGUAAACUUCUUUUAUAAGGGAAUAAACCCUCCCACGUGUGGGAGCUUGUAUGUACCUUAUGAAUAAGCAUCGGCUAACUCCGUGCCAGCAGCCGCGGUAAUACGGAGGAUGCGAGCGUUAUCCGGAUUUAUUGGGUUUAAAGGGAGCGCAGACGGGUCGUUAAGUCAGCUGUGAAAGUUUGGGGCUCAACCUUAAAAUUGCAGUUGAUACUGGCGUCCUUGAGUGCGGUUGAGGUGUGCGGAAUUCGUGGUGUAGCGGUGAAAUGCUUAGAUAUCACGAAGAACUCCGAUUGCGAAGGCAGCUCACUGGAGCGCAACUGACGCUGAAGCUCGAAAGUGCGGGUAUCGAACAGGAUUAGAUACCCUGGUAGUCCGCACGGUAAACGAUGGAUGCCCGCUGUUGGUCUGAAUAGGUCAGCGGCCAAGCGAAAGCAUUAAGCAUCCCACCUGGGGAGUACGCCGGCAACGGUGAAACUCAAAGGAAUUGACGG
This 919-nucleotide ribosomal RNA is filed under the name uncultured bacterium. RNAcentral's name for it is "bacterial SSU rRNA". It matches the Rfam family "Bacterial small subunit ribosomal RNA", at positions 1 to 916 of the family's 1533-position model. The record is from RNAcentral.